UUGUAAAUGAUAGGGAUAGAGCAUGGGUCCAAAAUCUUCCGAGUAUUCUUUUAAAUCUGCACUUCUCUGUUGGAUUUUUUUGUACAUUUACUAAACAGUGUUGUUGACUUUAAGAAUAUGCUGUAUGAACAGUUUUUAAAUCUAUAGCUUUCAAGAAAAUCAAAGAAAAGUGAUGUGCCAUGAAUGUAGCCUCAUUCAACAGGACUGCUGUCAUUAAAGUUGCUACACAUCAACUGUACCUGUUUGCAUGUUCGUCAAAAACUAAGCCUGAGAUUCUACAACAUUUUAAGUGAAAAUGCAUCAUUUUUAUAUAUGUGUUUCAAAAGAGGUUCACGUUCACACGGCGACAUUUUGAAAAUAUCUGUAUUCUGGCUAAAAUUCCCAACAUCUUUUAGUUCACUGGAUGUCCUGAAUACAAUCAGUGCCAAACCAGUCAGUUUUACUGAUCUUAAUAUAGUGUUGAUACAGUGUUUUUGCUUCUUUCUUUCAGUUUCUGAAAGAGCAGUACAACCGUAUGGGCAACCUUUUGAUAUAUGUUGGUCUGUUAUUUGUUCUGCAAACCAGAGUCUCAUCAGAUAGAGGUAAACUGUUCUUUAACUGUUCCAGAAAAGCACCAAUCAGCUCUAAUAUUAUGACAACCUGCUUAAUAUUGAACUUGUUCCCCUUCUGCUAAAGGCAUUUUUGAUAUUGCUGCGCUCAUUGUCAUGAUCAUCCUACAUCUCAUCAACAGGAAUGUGCAUCCACAAAAUUCAAAAAGUUCUUUCCCAAAGCCUGUCCUGAAAACCAUGUCUGUAUUUCUGCAUAGAAACAACGUCAUGUCUUUAUUAGAGGAAACACUUCUUUUUUGCGUUUUCAUUUCACAAACACUUUGGGUUUCCAUGAUGUUGAAAACAAUGUCUGUUUUACACGGAAACAGCAGAAGAACUGAAAAUGCUGCUGCAUGCUGGGGCACAAGUUGUCACUACAAACUUUAAUAAUGAAACAGUGGCGGGUACACGGACAUUCGUAUGGACAAGAAGAGCUGAGCAAUAGCGGGUAUGCACAUGUUUGUUUGAUAUUUUCUUCUUUGCUUGUAACGAAGACUUGUUUCUAUAUAUUUACAAAAAAUAUUGUGUGUACAUCUGAAUAAAGGCCUAAACUGAACUGACUUGUAGUUUUGACAUCAACUGAUGGGCUAGAAGAAGGACUCUUGUUCUAAAUUGAUUCUGAAGGAAUCACUCUGCACAGCGGGGGUCCUCAGAGCUCUGUAAGACAAAGGCGAUCAGAGUAACGGAAAAUACAACUUUGUGAAAGCUCCCUGAAUCCAUCUGCAUGAAAACAGGGCGAAAGGUAAGUUUUCUGAAACGCGGCUCACUGCCCAGCCGUAGUAAAGAGCUCUGGGAGUAGGUGGACAACUGCAACAACGGCGGCCUCCAGAGUGGCGUGACUCCCAGUCACAACAAGAGGCCACUUUUAUCUGAACUGUGAUUUAAAAAAUAAAUGAAUUAAUUAAAUUUUCUAAAUAUGUGUUUGGUUAAACGUAAGUUCUUUUUUUCCCCUCAUGCAUUCCCAUUUAUUUUGGGGAGAGAUUUUUUUUCUCCCUCUUACAACCAAAAGUUUACACAUCUGUUUAAAAUCAGUUCUCCAGCUCACACACUGCACUUUUUCCUCUUGAAUGAAUGUAAAAGAUUACACAGUCACUGACUAUAUAUUUGCUGUUAUUGUUUUAAAUAUAUGUUGUUCAUUUUCUUUUCUGUUGCUCCUGUUCCUGAUUUACUGUCCGCUGACUGCUGUAAUGACACCAUUUUGACCAUCGUGGGAAAAAUAAAGGAAUAAAUAUCUAAUCACCUCUGUGUGUGCGUGUGUGUAUCUGGAUGAUCGUAUGAAGCGUUCACAGUGAUGCAAUGCAAUUCUUCAAGUGGGUCACUCGGUUCUUGAACACCAGUCGUUUUCAGCCCUGCAGAAUCCAUCAUGCCAGCACACAUACACAUUAAUGCUACCUUACUGAUACCCUUUCAUAGUAACUUAUACUUUAUUGAUUUUUAUUAUUCUGCAGGAUUAGGGUGGAGCUAUCCAAUGUGAGAAUGUGGGAAUCAACUGUCCGCUCAACAUUCCAUAGUUUUCCAGGAGCUGAUCGGACGGGUAGUUGGCACAGCUCACUGUUUGUGUGGUCUGUGAGCUGAGCCAGAUCGUCUUCUUAUUUGACAUACAGCAUCUCCUUCUGUAUUCUCCCCGUGUUCCUCUUGUGUUAAUUGACCUCAGCCUGCUUUUGGUUUCUCUCUUGCAUCGCGCUGUGGACACUUUAGCCUCUGGAUUUUCUAUGGUGAUCCUUGAUGCUCCAGCCUGACAGACAAGCCCAGGCUGCGUUUCAUUUAGAUUAAUCUUGGGUUGUAUUUUGUCGCAGUUACUCUAGCUUGAAGUAACGUUUGCUAUUUAUCAGAAAGAGAAAAGAAAAGAAAACAAGUGUUGUGUAACGUGAGUAGGCAAGUGUCAACAUGCAGCAAGUUGAAAGAUUUUAACAGGGGGAAAGAAAGAUGCCACUUUUUUCCAUUUUGCAUCUCAGAUGCUGUGUAACGUUGGACAUUAAGUCAGCAUGCAGGUUUCUCAUGGCAGUCCACUCCCUUAUCCUUUGUCUGUGUUGUUGUACCUUUCGAUUCUGUCACCAUCAAAGUCAGGAAAGUCCCCGGGCCAAGCAUGGUGUGUGACACUAUAAAUUUUAGACAGUAGUUACCAAUCCUGUUCAGUUGUCUGUGAUUCCCGGGAAAGAAACAAGUUCUCCGUCGGUUUCUCAAGAAGGCAGAACUUCCAGUAUGGGCAACCUUUUAAUAUAUGUGGGUCUGUUAUUUGUUCUGCAAACCAGUGUCUCAGACGAAGUCGUAUCACUGAACUGCAGGGAUCCUGGUUCAGUCCAAUUUGGAGAAUCAGCGACCAUCAACUGCUCCAUCGAAUGGAAGAAAGAUCAGAACUGCCGUGUCGAUCACUACGUUUUCAAAAAUAACAAUGUCGACAUGUGUAGCGGCACUCUGCCUGGCAACGGGUGCGAAUCUGAUAACCGGACUUACAUAUCCCUGACCAUCUCUGAGGUCCUCAAGGAGGAAACGGUUGACAUUGAACUUCAUUCGAUACAUGGACACGAUUUUAAGUCUGUUGUAGUGAAGCCAUACGGUGAGCCCAAGACAACACCACUACCACCAAACAAGACCAAGACCAUCACAUCAGAACCACUUCAUCUUGGUGUCGCAGUGCAGCUAUACGGGAAGCUCAAGACAUCACCACAGUCGGGAGACUCCAAGAACACAGAGAAAAAGAGCGGAAGCAUGAUUUCACCCGUCAUUUUUGGUGUCGCUGUACUCCUCAUCGUUUCAUUCGCUCUGUAUAUCACCUACAGGGCAACUACAUCCAGAAAUCAAUUCAUCCACCUUCCAAAGCAGAUAGAAGGGUGGAUUUAUGAAGAACUGUGAAAAGUUACAAUGGUCAACCUUUUACUACAUUUUUAAGAUCUGUGAGUAAUAAAACUUUUUAAAACAAUUACUGUAGUUUUUUAAGGAGAUUUUAGCAGUUUCAUCUAUAAGCUGUUUUCCUGGGUUUAUAUUUUCUAACCAUUAUCAUUUUAGUUGAUUUUACUGUUUUAACUUUUUUUUUUUGAUAUUUUGACUUUUUAUGAAAAAAUGUUUUGGCUACAUGCAUGUUUUUGUCCUUUCUAGUGGGUUUAGCUAAUUAAAAUUACCAAUAUAAGUCAUUUUGAACUCUUUUUUCAGAUUUAGCUGCUUUUAUUAAUUGGUUUAGUUUUUUUCAUUUAUUUCAUGUGUCUGGAAGUUGAUUGUACAAACCAUUUUGUGUCACUUUAUUAAAUCUCUGGGAUGUACAGGGUACAAGACUAUGUAAAUGUAGCGAUCUGUGUUUAUUGUGACUUCAGUCUGUAAAUAUGA
Molecule: RNA transcript, 3908 nt
Organism: Salarias fasciatus (jewelled blenny)
Lineage: Eukaryota; Metazoa; Chordata; Actinopteri; Blenniiformes; Blenniidae
Exons: 5
Source: RefSeq, a predicted model, not a curated record